AGUGUGUGUGUGUGUGUGUGUGUGUAUAUAUAUAUAUAUAUGUGUGUGUGUGUGUGUACACACACACACACACACUUA
Molecule: non-coding RNA, 78 nt
Organism: Pelobates cultripes (western spadefoot toad)
Lineage: Eukaryota; Metazoa; Chordata; Amphibia; Anura; Pelobatidae
Source: the annotation of a GenBank genome assembly